UACGAAGGGGGCUAGCGUUGCUCGGAAUGACUGGGUGUAAAGGGCGCGUAGGCGGUUUGGACAGUCAGAUGUGAAAUUCCUGGGCUCAACCUGGGGGCUGCAUUUGAUACGUUCGGACUAGAGUGGGGAAGAGGGUCGUGGAAUUCCCAGUGUAGAGGUGAAAUUCGUAGAUAUUGGGAAGAACACCGGUGGCGAAGGCGGCGACCUGGUCCUUGACUGACGCUGAGGCGCGAAAGCGUGGGGAGCAAACAGG
RNAcentral lists this ribosomal RNA (253 nucleotides) under uncultured bacterium. RNAcentral describes it as "partial 16S ribosomal RNA". It matches the Rfam family "Bacterial small subunit ribosomal RNA", at positions 524 to 776 of the family's 1533-position model. The record is from RNAcentral.